This 1790-nucleotide ribosomal RNA is filed under the name Salmonella enterica subsp. enterica serovar Typhimurium. RNAcentral's name for it is "partial 23S ribosomal RNA". It matches the Rfam family "Bacterial large subunit ribosomal RNA", at positions 1 to 1637 of the family's 2925-position model. The record is from RNAcentral. Lineage: Bacteria; Pseudomonadati; Pseudomonadota; Gammaproteobacteria; Enterobacterales; Enterobacteriaceae.
GGGUUGUGAGGUUAAGCGACUAAGCGUACACGGUGGAUGCCCUGGCAGUCAGAGGCGAUGAAGGACGUGCUAAUCUGCGAUAAGCGCCGGUAAGGUGAUAUGAACCGUUAUAACCGGCGAUUUCCGAAUGGGGAAACCCAGUGUGAUUCGUCACACUAUCAUUAACUGAAUCCAUAGGUUAAUGAGGCGAACCGGGGGAACUGAAACAUCUAAGUACCCCGAGGAAAAGAAAUCAACCGAGAUUCCCCCAGUAGCGGCGAGCGAACGGGGAGGAGCCCAGAGCCUGAAUCAGCAUGUGUGUUAGUGGAAGCGUCUGGAAAGGCGCGCGAUACAGGGUGACAGCCCCGUACACAAAAGCGCAUGUGCUGUGAGCUCGAUGAGUAGGGCGGGACACGUGGUAUCCUGUCUGAAUAUGGGGGGACCAUCCUCCAAGGCUAAAUACUCCUGACUGACCGAUAGUGAACCAGUACCGUGAGGGAAAGGCGAAAAGAACCCCGGCGAGGGGAGUGAAAAAGAACCUGAAACCGUGUACGUACAAGCAGUGGGAGCCCCACCACUAAGCCAGUGGUGAACUCCACAUCCGCAUCCUUUGCUGAGGAUACGGUUAACGGAGCGAAAGCGACGUUCAACCGCAAAACAAGCAGAGGGGGCUUAGUGGUGGGGUGACUGCGUACCUUUUGUAUAAUGGGUCAGCGACUUAUAUUCUGUAGCAAGGUUAACCGUAUAGGGGAGCCGGAGGGAAACCGAGUCUUAAUUGGGCGUUAAGUUGCAGGGUAUAGACCCGAAACCCGGUGAUCUAGCCAUGGGCAGGUUGAAGGUUGGGUAACACUAACUGGAGGACCGAACCGACUAAUGUUGAAAAAUUAGCGGAUGACCUGUGGCUGGGGGUGAAAGGCCAAUCAAACCGGGAGAUAGCUGGUUCUCCCCGAAAGCUAUUUAGGUAGCGCCUCGUGAAUUCAUCUCCGGGGGUAGAGCACUGUUUCGGCUAGGGGGCCAUCCCGGCUUACCAACCCGAUGCAAACUGCGAAUACCGGAGAAUGUUAUCACGGGAGACACACGGCGGGUGCUAACGUCCGUCGUGAAGAGGGAAACAACCCAGACCGCCAGCUAAGGUCCCAAAGUCAUGGUUAAGUGGGAAACGAUGUGGGAAGGCCCAGACAGCCAGGAUGUUGGCUUAGAAGCAGCCAUCAUUUAAAGAAAGCGUAAUAGCUCACUGGUCGAGUCGGCCUGCGCGGAAGAUGUAACGGGGCUAAACCAUGCACCGAAGCUGCGGCAGCGAACGUAUCACCCAAGACAACUUUACGGAGUUGACGAUUGACGGAGCGAAGCGACGUCAAAGCGUUCAUUAAAGUCGAGUUGGCUUAGGGAUACGUUCGUUGGGUAGGGGAGCGUUCUGUAAGCCUGUGAAGGUGUGUCGUGAGGCAUGCUGGAGGUAUCAGAAGUGCGAAUGCUGACAUAAGUAACGAUAAAGCGGGUGAAAAGCCCGCUCGCCGGAAGACCAAGGGUUCCUGUCCAACGUUAAUCGGGGCAGGGUGAGUCGACCCCUAAGGCGAGGCCGAAAGGCGUAGUCGAUGGGAAACGGGUUAAUAUUCCCGUACUUGGUGUUACUGCGAAGGGGGGACGGAGAAGGCUAUGUUGGCCGGGCGACGGUUGUCCCGGUUUAAGCGUGUAGGUGUGUGUUCCAGGUAAAUCCGGUUCACUUUAACACUGAGGCGUGACGACGAGGCACUACGGUGCUGAAGCAACAAAUGCCCUGCUUCCAGGAAAAGCCUCUAAGCAUCAGGUAACAC